This 450-nucleotide ribosomal RNA is filed under the name uncultured bacterium. Its description in RNAcentral is "partial 16S ribosomal RNA". It matches the Rfam family "Bacterial small subunit ribosomal RNA", at positions 354 to 796 of the family's 1533-position model. The record is from RNAcentral.
GUGGGGAAUUUUGGACAAUGGGCGCAAGCCUGAUCCAGCAAUGCCGCGUGCAGGAAGAAGGCCUUCGGGUUGUAAACUGCUUUUGUACGGAACGAAACGGUCCGGGUUAAUACCCUGGGCUAAUGACGGUACCGUAAGAAUAAGCACCGGCUAACUACGUGCCAGCAGCCGCGGUAAUACGUAGGGUGCAAGCGUUAAUCGGAAUUACUGGGCGUAAAGCGUGCGCAGGCGGUGUUGUAAGACAGGCGUGAAAUCCCCGGGCACAACCUGAGAAUUGCGCUAGUGACUGCAAGGCUGGAGUGCGGCAGAGGGGGAUGGAAUUCCGCGUGUAGCAGUGAAAUGCGUAGAUAUGCGGAGGAAUACCGAUGGCGAAGGCAAUCCCCUGGGCCUGCACUGACGCUCAUGCACGAAAGCGUGGGGAGCAAACAGGAUUAGAUACCCUGGUAGUCC